CGCCCUCUCCCUCCGUUCCGAAUUAAUUGUCGCAGGUAUGGAUGUAUCUAGAUGUAUUUUAGUUCUAGAUACAUCCAUUUCUUCGAUAAGUAAUUUGGAAUGGAGGGAGUUGUUG
Non-coding RNA from Triticum aestivum (bread wheat), 115 nucleotides. Lineage: Eukaryota; Viridiplantae; Streptophyta; Magnoliopsida; Poales; Poaceae. The record is from Rfam.